RNAcentral lists this small nuclear RNA (276 nucleotides) under Peromyscus maniculatus bairdii (prairie deer mouse). Its description in RNAcentral is "7SK RNA (ENSPEMG00000002522.2)". It matches the Rfam family "7SK RNA". Rfam says of the family: 7SK was discovered as an abundant small nuclear RNA in the mid-70s but a possible function has only recently been suggested. Two independent studies have found that 7SK RNA binds the CDK9/cyclin T complex (known as elongation factor P-TEFb). Lineage: Eukaryota; Metazoa; Chordata; Mammalia; Rodentia; Cricetidae. The record is from RNAcentral.
GGCCAUCUAUCUAGCUGCAAGCACCUGACACCCCACUGAUUGCCAGGAUCAAUGUUAAUGACCUGGCUGAUGGUGUCCCUUUCCUCCCUAACUGCUCCAAAGGUGUCCAUUCCACAGAGUGGCACACUCAGUCAAAGUGGAUGACCUUCACUGCAGAGGAGGGCCAGUCAUUGGCCAAGGGUAUUUGAGUAGCUGCUGGAACCUCUAAACAAGCUCUCAAGUCUUCUCAAGAACACAGUGCUCCAUCCUGAAGGAAGGGCUUGCUGGUUGUACCCU